AACAACAGCCCUGCUCUGGUCCCUCCAAAAGCCGACGAAUCCACACAAGACUAAAGAUGAAGAAGAGGACAACAAGCCCAGCUCUAAUCACACUCCAGAAGAUAACUAGUCUACGCACAGCCAAAACUUAAAAACUCAUCAGUCUUUCCCAGAGACAGAUUGAACUUCAAGGUAAAAGUGAAUUUUCAGAUGCGGACAAGCUAACUUCUAAGGAUUAUGAGUAAUUCGACUCAUCUUUUAAAUAUCCAGAAAACCUCAUUUUUAGUGAAAGAGUGGAGAUAAAAGAAUAUUAAGAGUCCAGAAACUGGUGUUCUGGCUGUGGCCCUGCCUUAGACUGUCUCACUUUGUAGUCACUUUAUGCAGGAAACGUGCCCGGGCAUCUUGAAAUGGAUGAGUUCUCUUCUGGAGAUAUGUCUCAUGUGUACGCAUAUCUGGAGAUAUGCCUCUUGUGGGUGCUGCUGCAGCUGCUGUGCCCAUCUCAUAUCAAUACCCAAGCUUUUCUCAUGACGAACCAGAUGACUCUUGGUAACCAGGUUUGCUCCCCAGCUUCUAAUUUCAAUAUGAUGAGAAGUUACAUAACAUUUACUCCUUUGUAAAGGUUUCUCUGUCAUCAGACAAAACUCUGAAUAGAAACCGGUGGGUAAUCCAGUGUACUGGUUUUUCCUAAUGUAUUUGGUACUAUAGUGUAUGAACCGAGAAUAAUCGAGUCAAGUGAAACCCCCUUUUCCAGUCAUAAAAUGUCUCAUUCAUUAUACUAAAAGGAGCUGUUCUUUUAAAAAAGCCUUCUUAUUUUUCUACUAAAUUUUUAGAUAAGUAUAACCUACUAUAUUCCUCAAAUCUAGGCUUACAUUUGAGAAGGGUAAGCUGUGUUUUUUCCUCCGAAGAGUUGGGCUGUGAUCUUUACAACGAGACGUCGUUUUUCCCAGCAUAUUUCUGUUUUCUACCUAAACAUUAAGAUACACAUUUUUCUAGGCAUUAGAAAUAGUACAAUAUUGCCUGUGGUCUUUCCAUUUGACACCUGUGGCUGGAAUAUAUGUGUCGCUCCAGAAUUUAUAUGUUGGAAUUUAAAUGCCCCUGUGUGAUAGAAUUAAAAAGUGGGGACUUUGGGAGGAGGUUAAGAGUGCAAUUAGAGACCUUAUAAAAGAACUCAAUGGAAGUAGCUAGGCUUUUUAGCCCUUCCACCAUUAGAGGACACUGUAUUUGUCCUCUCUGGAGAACACAGCAACAAGGUGCCAUCUUGGAAGAAGAGACCCACCUUCACCAGACAUUGGACCUAUUAGUGCCUUGAUCUUGGACUUCCCAGUGUCUAAAACUGUAAGAAAUUUAUUUCUUUCCAGUUUCAUAAGUUACCCAGUCCAAGGUACUGUGUUAUAGCAUCAGGAACAUACUGAGAUGGCAUAUUUAUUGUGGAAAUUUUGGUCCUCAUACUUAAUGAAUGGGCUUCAAGUAUUUCGUUAGUUUUUAAAAACAGGGCUCCUCCUUUACAAUUGAUCUCAUUUUUAUUUUUUAAAAGUUAGCUUUUACAACAUAGAACUGGAAAAAAUCUCUACUCAGACCUCUAGAGUGUCCUAGAUUUUGUGGCAGAAUCACUAUGGAUAAUUUAUAGGUGCUUGUGAUCUCAUCUGUGUAUUAUUUAC
This is a long non-coding RNA of Homo sapiens (human), 1637 nucleotides long. Ensembl annotates it as testis expressed transcript, Y-linked 9B. Its record names the gene TTTY9B. The record is from Ensembl. NCBI's taxonomy places the organism in Eukaryota, Metazoa, Chordata, Mammalia, Primates, Hominidae.